This 828-nucleotide ribosomal RNA is filed under the name Triticum aestivum (bread wheat). Its description in RNAcentral is "partial small subunit ribosomal RNA". Lineage: Eukaryota; Viridiplantae; Streptophyta; Magnoliopsida; Poales; Poaceae. The record is from RNAcentral.
CGAUCGCUCAGGUUCUUGGACAAGGCGGCCCUAGAGAGGGCGGGCGACAAGGGGCGACCAGCGAGCCCGUGGCGGCUGUGCACGGUUACACAGGUGGAGGAGAUCAAGUGUGUGCUCCGUCUGCUGCCGGUGUGGGCGUGCGGCAUCAUCUUCGCGGCCGUGUACACGCAGGUGUCCACCACCUUCAUCCUCCAAGGGGACACGCUGGACCCGCGCAUCGGCAGCUUUUGCGUCCCCGCUGCAGUGCUCACCGUCUUCGACACGCUCAGCGUCAUGCUCUGGGUGCCGCUUUACGACCGCGCCAUCGUCCCGCUCGCGCGCCACCUCACGGGCCACCGCCGCGGGUUCACGCAGCUGACGCGCAUGGGCAUCGGGUUCGUCAUCCUCACGGUCGCCACUGGCAUGCUUGAGGUCGCACGGCGCCGCGUGGUCACGUGCAACGGCACGUACCGCGGCACGGACGGUGCAGAGUACGUGUCAUUGUCCAUCUUCUGGCAGGUGCCCCAUUAUGUACUAUUGGGCGCGGCGGAGGUGUUCACUUUCAUCGGGCAGAUGGAGUUCUUCUACGACCAAGCGCCUGACGCCAUGCGGAGCAUCUGCUCAGGGCUCGCCAGCGCGGCUUUGGCGCUGGGCAACUACGCGAGCUCGGCGCUCGUGUCCGUCGUGGUGUGUGUCACGACGAGCACCGGCCGGCCCGGGUGGAUCCCCGACGACAUCAACCACGGGCACUUGGACUACUUUUGGCUGCUCGCCAUGCUCUGCGUCGGCAAUUUCGGCGGGUACCUGCUCGUGGCACGGUGGUACAACUACAAGAUGACCGCGGAUUAA